Long non-coding RNA from Solanum tuberosum (potato), 357 nucleotides. RefSeq lists it as uncharacterized. NCBI's taxonomy places the organism in Eukaryota, Viridiplantae, Streptophyta, Magnoliopsida, Solanales, Solanaceae. The transcript is spliced from 2 exons. The record is from RefSeq and is a predicted model, not a curated record.
UAUCUUUUCUCUUCUUCAUCAUAUUUGUUUGGUUUGUAACAAAAUAUAAGUACAUGAAAUUGGUCGCAUAUAAUGAAGAGUUUGACAUAUGGAGCAAAAUAUGGUGGCGGAUCUACUUGCAAAGGAAGAUGGUAGAAGGAAAAAAAAUGAAGUAUAAUUAGAGAUUAUUUUUGCUAGAUUUUUUUUUUCACUUUGACUUGUAUUAGUAACUUAGUUACUUUUGCUAGAAUUUUUUAAAUUUUGGGUUGUAUAAAUAAUUUAGCUAAAUGUAUUGUCAACGCUAAUCAUUUGAUCCUUUACUAUUCUACUUUUUCUUUGUUAUGAAGCAAAAUUAAUAUAAUUAUCACAUUUCAGCAA